Fukomys damarensis (Damara mole-rat) is the source of this 1044-nucleotide long non-coding RNA. RefSeq lists it as uncharacterized. Lineage: Eukaryota; Metazoa; Chordata; Mammalia; Rodentia; Bathyergidae. The record is from RefSeq and is a predicted model, not a curated record. The transcript is spliced from 4 exons.
CCGGGGCCACGAGCUCGUGGACAAGAAAGCCACGGAAGAUCCUCACGGAAACAGAACUGACAGAGACCCACACAGACUUUGUUAAGGAUCAAAGCUGGGAACUGAAAGACCCCUGAAGGCCAGGGCAGGGGAAACUGCUCGAGUCGCCUGUGCCUGCAGAUCUCACGGAGCGGUGCUGCACAGACCUGGCGUGGGCCCUGUGCAUGCUCAGGACCAAGCCGUGGCCCGGGUGCAGGGUGCAGUACACGGGGGAGAGAAGGCUGCUGUUCCUCCUCCGCUAAAGCUCCAGGCAUGGAGGGUACACUUCAGGAGAGCUGGCUGGGGCAGAAAACAAAAAGGAAGACCAUAAGCGAAUGUGGAAAUUCAAGAUGUGUCAGUGUCACGAAAAGAAGACAGCAAGGUGAUGUGCCUGAGAGGUGCUGGCUACAUGGGCCUUCAGAUGGGGGUUGAGGCAGGACCUCCGGCUUGGGACUAGGAUUCUACUGCUCUUGCUGCCCCAGGCAGUGGCUGCCCGUGAAGAUCCUGCCAAAGAGUGUUGCUGGAGGAGGGAUGCGAGGCCUUGAGGUCAAUGCAUCCUAUCCUCAUCUGAGGCUACCCAGAGGCAACCGAUAUUCCAAUUUCUACACCGUAACUAGUUUAGCCUGUUCUUGAACUUCAUAUGGGUGUGAAGACACAGAUGUAUUUGUUCAUCUGUGGCUCCUCCUCCUUCCCCUCAACAUAACGCUUUUGAGACAUCCGUGUUGACAUGGGCCGCAGCAGUUCGUUUGUUUUUGCCAAUAUUUUAUUGCAUAAACAUCCCUCAAUCUAGUUUUCCUUCUCUUGUUGGACAUUUGGGGUUGUUCCCUGUUCUUGUGUGAAUGUCAUGGCCUCUUGUUACAGUUAAAUUUUUGGAAAAGGGUGAGUUUGAUGUUGGACUCAGUUGUCCUCCCCAGGCAUUGUGUGAGCGUAAACAGGCAAAGGGCACCUCCGUGAGUGGGAGUGGAGGCUCGUGAGUAAAACUCUAUCAGUAAACACAGCAGAAGUUACUGGAGAAAGAAAAGUACU